AGCGUACACGGUGGAUGCCCUGGCAGUCAGAGGCGAUGAAGGACGUGCUAAUCUGCGAUAAGCGUCGGUAAGGUGAUAUGAACCGUUAUAACCGGCGAUUUCCGAAUGGGGAAACCCAGUGUGUUUCGACACACUAUCAUUAACUGAAUCCAUAGGUUAAUGAGGCGAACCGGGGGAACUGAAACAUCUAAGUACCCCGAGGAAAAGAAAUCAACCGAGAUUCCCCCAGUAGCGGCGAGCGAACGGGGAGGAGCCCAGAGCCUGAAUCAGUAUGUGUGUUAGUGGAAGCGUCUGGAAAGGCGCGCGAUACAGGGUGACAGCCCCGUACACAAAAAUGCACAUGCUGUGAGCUCGAUGAGUAGGGCGGGACACGUGGUAUCCUGUCUGAAUAUGGGGGGACCAUCCUCCAAGGCUAAAUACUCCUGACUGACCGAUAGUGAACCAGUACCGUGAGGGAAAGGCGAAAAGAACCCCGGCGAGGGGAGUGAAAAAGAACCUGAAACCGUGUACGUACAAGCAGUGGGAGCACGCUUAGGCGUGUGACUGCGUACCUUUUGUAUAAUGGGUCAGCGACUUAUAUUCUGUAGCAAGGUUAACCGAAUAGGGGAGCCGAAGGGAAACCGAGUCUUAACUGGGCGUUAAGUUGCAGGGUAUAGACCCGAAACCCGGUGAUCUAGCCAUGGGCAGGUUGAAGGUUGGGUAACACUAACUGGAGGACCGAACCGACUAAUGUUGAAAAAUUAGCGGAUGACUUGUGGCUGGGGGUGAAAGGCCAAUCAAACCGGGAGAUAGCUGGUUCUCCCCGAAAGCUAUUUAGGUAGCGCCUCGUGAAUUCAUCUCCGGGGGUAGAGCACUGUUUCGGCAAGGGGGUCAUCCCGACUUACCAACCCGAUGCAAACUGCGAAUACCGGAGAAUGUUAUCACGGGAGACACACGGCGGGUGCUAACGUCCGUCGUGAAGAGGGAAACAACCCAGACCGCCAGCUAAGGUCCCAAAGUCAUGGUUAAGUGGGAAACGAUGUGGGAAGGCCCAGACAGCCAGGAUGUUGGCUUAGAAGCAGCCAUCAUUUAAAGAAAGCGUAAUAGCUCACUGGUCGAGUCGGCCUGCGCGGAAGAUGUAACGGGGCUAAACCAUGCACCGAAGCUGCGGCAGCGACACUGUGUGUUGUUGGGUAGGGGAGCGUUCUGUAAGCCUGUGAAGGUGUACUGUGAGGUAUGCUGGAGGUAUCAGAAGUGCGAAUGCUGACAUAAGUAACGAUAAAGCGGGUGAAAAGCCCGCUCGCCGGAAGACCAAGGGUUCCUGUCCAACGUUAAUCGGGGCAGGGUGAGUCGACCCCUAAGGCGAGGCCGAAAGGCGUAGUCGAUGGGAAACAGGUUAAUAUUCCUGUACUUGGUGUUACUGCGAAGGGGGGACGGAGAAGGCUAUGUUGGCCGGGCGACGGUUGUCCCGGUUUAAGCGUGUAGGCUGGUUUUCCAGGCAAAUCCGGAAAAUCAAGGCUGAGGCGUGAUGACGAGGCACUACGGUGCUGAAGCAACAAAUGCCCUGCUUCCAGGAAAAGCCUCUAAGCAUCAGGUAACAUCAAAUCGUACCCCAAACCGACACAGGUGGUCAGGUAGAGAAUACCAAGGCGCUUGAGAGAACUCGGGUGAAGGAACUAGGCAAAAUGGUGCCGUAACUUCGGGAGAAGGCACGCUGAUAUGUAGGUGAAGCGACUUGCUCGUGGAGCUGAAAUCAGUCGAAGAUACCAGCUGGCUGCAACUGUUUAUUAAAAACACAGCACUGUGCAAACACGAAAGUGGACGUAUACGGUGUGACGCCUGCCCGGUGCCGGAAGGUUAAUUGAUGGGGUUAGCGCAAGCGAAGCUCUUGAUCGAAGCCCCGGUAAACGGCGGCCGUAACUAUAACGGUCCUAAGGUAGCGAAAUUCCUUGUCGGGUAAGUUCCGACCUGCACGAAUGGCGUAAUGAUGGCCAGGCUGUCUCCACCCGAGACUCAGUGAAAUUGAACUCGCUGUGAAGAUGCAGUGUACCCGCGGCAAGACGGAAAGACCCCGUGAACCUUUACUAUAGCUUGACACUGAACAUUGAGCCUUGAUGUGUAGGAUAGGUGGGAGGCUUUGAAGUGUGGACGCCAGUCUGCAUGGAGCCGACCUUGAAAUACCACCCUUUAAUGUUUGAUGUUCUAACGUGGACCCGUGAUCCGGGUUGCGGACAGUGUCUGGUGGGUAGUUUGACUGGGGCGGUCUCCUCCUAAAGAGUAACGGAGGAGCACGAAGGUUGGCUAAUCCUGGUCGGACAUCAGGAGGUUAGUGCAAUGGCAUAAGCCAGCUUGACUGCGAGCGUGACGGCGCGAGCAGGUGCGAAAGCAGGUCAUAGUGAUCCGGUGGUUCUGAAUGGAAGGGCCAUCGCUCAACGGAUAAAAGGUACUCCGGGGAUAACAGGCUGAUACCGCCCAAGAGUUCAUAUCGACGGCGGUGUUUGGCACCUCGAUGUCGGCUCAUCACAUCCUGGGGCUGAAGUAGGUCCCAAGGGUAUGGCUGUUCGCCAUUUAAAGUGGUACGCGAGCUGGGUUUAGAACGUCGUGAGACAGUUCGGUCCCUAUCUGCCGUGGGCGCUGGAGAACUGAGGGGGGCUGCUCCUAGUACGAGAGGACCGGAGUGGACGCAUCACUGGUGUUCGGGUUGUCAUGCCAAUGGCACUGCCCGGUAGCUAAAUGCGGAAGAGAUAAGUGCUGAAAGCAUCUAAGCACGAAACUUGCCCCGAGAUGAGUUCUCCCUGACUCCUUGA
This 2786-nucleotide ribosomal RNA is filed under the name Escherichia coli. RNAcentral's name for it is "bacterial LSU rRNA". It matches the Rfam family "Bacterial large subunit ribosomal RNA". The record is from RNAcentral. Lineage: Bacteria; Pseudomonadati; Pseudomonadota; Gammaproteobacteria; Enterobacterales; Enterobacteriaceae.